Molecule: ribosomal RNA, 551 nt
Filed under: Acinetobacter baumannii
Lineage: Bacteria; Pseudomonadati; Pseudomonadota; Gammaproteobacteria; Moraxellales; Moraxellaceae
Description: partial 23S ribosomal RNA
Rfam family: Bacterial large subunit ribosomal RNA
Source: RNAcentral
AGUCAAGUAAUUAAGUGCAUGUGGUGGAUGCCUUGGCAGUCAGAGGCGAUGAAAGACGUGAUAGCCUGCGAAAAGCUCCGGGGAGGCGGCAAAUAUCCUUUGAUCCGGAGAUGUCUGAAUGGGGGAACCCACCUACUUUAAGGUAGGUAUUGCAACAUGAAUACAUAGUGUUGCAAGGCGAACGAGGGGAAGUGAAACAUCUCAGUACCCUUAGGAAAAGAAAUCAAUUGAGAUUCCCUCAGUAGCGGCGAGCGAACGGGGAUCAGCCCAUUAAGUUAUGUGUGUUUUAGUGGAACGCUCUGGGAAGUGCGAACGUAGAGGGUGAUAUUCCCGUACACGAAAGGGCACACAUAAUGAUGACGAGUAGGGCGAGGCACGUGAAACCUUGUCUGAAUAUGGGGGGACCAUCCUCCAAGGCUAAAUACUCCUGACUGACCGAUAGUGAACCAGUACCGUGAGGGAAAGGCGAAAAGAACCCCUGUGAGGGGAGUGAAAUAGAUCCUGAAACCGCAUGCAUACAAGCAGUGGGAGCACCUUCGUGGUGUGACUGC